Molecule: long non-coding RNA, 1588 nt
Filed under: Mus musculus (house mouse)
Lineage: Eukaryota; Metazoa; Chordata; Mammalia; Rodentia; Muridae
Description: long non-coding RNA chr18:3373624-3375212
Source: RNAcentral
GAGGGUAUAGGAGACCUUCCGGAUAGCAUUUGAAUUGUAAAUGAAGAAAAUAUCUAAUUUUUAAAAAUUCUACUCAAAAAAAAAAGGAAAAAAAUUUCAAGUCCUCCUUGAGCACAUUAGCAAUCUGAGAAUGUAGUUCAAUGGUUGGGCAUUUACCUAGUACACUUAAAGUCCUAGAUCAACCCCCAUGUACUGAAAAAAAAAAAAAAGCAAGCUCAGUGAAUGAAUACAUGUAAGAUUCUACCUGAUCAAAAUAUUCUACCUGAUUAGAAAUGUUUAUUUUAUAAACAAUGUAUAACUAUGUGACAUGUAACAAAUUAUGGAAUACCCAUAGGGAAGUCCAGGUAGACCACAUGGAGCUGUUUUCUGCCACCAUUUGCUGAGGAAAGGAGGUCUCCUGCCAGCAGCACAGUGAAUGAAUUUGGAAGCAGAUCCUCCUCCGAACAAGAUGACUGGGCUCUGAGAUCUUGGCUGGAAGCACACAAGUUCAAUUAGGCCACUCCAUGACUUGACCCUUGGAGAUAAUAUCUAUUGAUUGUUUUUCUAAUCUCUCUUUCUUUUAAUUUUUCACAUUUAUCUAUCUGUGUAUUUGUGUGAGGAGAGAGUAAGGCGCAUGCCACAGUAUAUGGAAGUCAGCUAACAACUUGCUUUUCUCUUCUCACUAUAUGGAUCCUGAGGAGCAAGCUCAGGUCAUCAGGUUUAGCAACAGGUUCCUCUAUCAAUGGAAAAAAUCUUGCCAGCCCCCAAGUGAUUCUAUUAUAUUACUGUGCUUAGGGAUUGUGUGUUGAAUAGCUAUAGAGAGUGAGGUGCACAGACAGCUUGCUUUUGCACUCACCUGCAGAAGUCCCCUUUCCCCCUAGCAAGUCUUCGUGUUGCCCUCUUCCACAGCAAGCACGAUAUGGCUUGCUUCUGUGGUUUGCCUCUAUAUUGCCCCUCAGAAGUCCUCCUUCCCCUCCCCCCUUGCAGCAAACUUGGGGUUCAUUCUACCUCCCUAGCUGCUCCAAGAAGGCUGGCUCAUGGAGCAGGUAGUUCCAGCCUGAGUAAGACAAAUGACAAAAAGUCCUCAACUUCAGCUACAUGUGAUCUCCUAGAUAACCAGAUGCUGCUGGUGCCUAUCCUUGGAGAAAGGAGAUUAGGGUCCCACGCUUAAAUCAUAGAAAAGAGGUAAUCAGAGGUCACAGACAAUUAUGGCCGGCCAUAAAACUAGUUCCUGAUAGCCCCACAAAAGACACUCUUUAAUCCCCCUCCUAGCCAGGCAGUGGUGGCACAUGCCUUUAAUCCCAACAUUUGGGAGGCAGAGGCAGGCAGAUUUCUGAGUUCAAGGCCAGCCUGGUCUACAGAGUGAGUUCCAAGACAGCCAGGGCUACACAGAGAAACCCUGUCUAGGAAAAAAAAAUCCCCCUCCCAGCCUUGUCUCAAAGCUCCACUACCAAAUGAUAUUGUGUCUGAGUUAUGACCUAACCCACCUCCACACCCCUUCACCCUAAGCAUUCAAAUAAUUCCUAACUGCAGUGUAUAUAAGUGUUAAAGCACCUGAGCCAGAGGGUUUGUGAUCUGAGUCAGGACUCGAAGUAAAAAGACUCUUUUG